UUGCCCGCGGGCUGGGAUUCCGGUCCGGCUGCGGCAUCCGCUACCCCCCUCCCCCCCCCAGCCCGCGAUGGAGGAGACCGAGAUGCAGCUCAAGGUGAAAAAAGUUACAGACAAAUUCACGGAGAGCAUGUACAUCCUGGCCAACGAGCCGUCUGUGGCACUGUACCGACUGCAGGAGCAUGUCAGGCGCUCCCUUCCGGAGCUAGCCCAGCACAAGGCUGACAUGCAGAGCUGGGAGGAGCAGAGUCAAGGAGCCAUCUACACCGUGGAGUACGCCUGCAGCGCCAUAAAGAACAUGAUGGACAGCAGUGUGUAUUUUGAGAGCAUCGACAGGCUGCUCAAGCAUGCCAUCGCUGUGAAGGAUCAGCUGAAUUCCGCUCAGGGCCGCAGCACUGCUGCCCUGCAAGCCCUGAAUCCGCCAGCCAGUUCCUGAUUUCAGACCAGACUGGCCUUCCUCUGCCUUUUUCAUCCAGCCCAGGUCAGUGAUCUCUUUGGCCAGAUGGAAGGGCGAGAAAUCUUCCACCCUUAAACUUUCCGCAUUGGAUGGCCUGGGUGUCAAGAGAGGAUGCUGCCCACACGCCUUGUCUCUGGGGACGUGCAGGGAUGAGAGCCGCCGACUCCUUUUAAAAGCUUCUGAAGCCAAAGCCACAAGUGACUAGCCACGCGUGGUGUAUAAAGGCCCAGUGAAGGGCUGUGAUCUCCGUGGGCAGAUGUCAUGGCCCUAGCUGGUGCCCGAGAUCCCCCUAGCUCAUUGACUAGUCACCCUGUUUGUGUCAAGCCAGGGGCUGGGUUUUGGGACUUGCCGGUUACAGCUGAUCUUCCCUGCCACCCCUAUGAGAGACUCCAGGGAGAACGGAGGUGUGCUGUCCCCACCAAUCUCCGGGAGAAAGCCAGCACAGCGGAGAGGCAUCAUGGGGUGGGGGCUCUGUUUCUUGUGCCUUUGAAUCCCUCCCUACAGGGCUUGUGCUGCAGCUUCUGCAUAAAACAAGUGGCAGAACAUUAAAGUAUCUCAAAAACCA
Mauremys mutica (yellowpond turtle) is the source of this 1019-nucleotide RNA transcript. It is a transcript of the gene named BLOC-1 related complex subunit 8, with no coding region annotated. The transcript is spliced from 6 exons. Lineage: Eukaryota; Metazoa; Chordata; Testudines; Geoemydidae. The record is from RefSeq and is a predicted model, not a curated record.